GUGAUUGGGGGGGGGGAGAAGUGAUUACAAAAAAUUCCUAUUAGAUAGCAUAUUUCCCACAUAAUUGACAGAAUUUCCCACAAAAUUGACAGAAUUUGUCCCAUUUAUUUCUAUAAUAAACCAAUAUUGCCCGACUGUGAAGCGAAUAUUGCCCGGCUGGCUUUGUUUGCCCAACAAAGCGAGGGGGCGGUCGCCCAGCUAGAAACUGGGGGGGGUCGCCCCGUCCCCUCCACCCCCACCCAGUACGCCCAUGAUUUUAAGCGAUUUUAGGCGAUUUAAAGCGAUUUUAGGCGAUUUAAGAGAAAUUUGACCAUUUUAACCCGCGAUUUAAUGCGAUUUUGGGCGAUUUUAGGCGAUUU
This 359-nucleotide long non-coding RNA is filed under the name Paramuricea clavata. Lineage: Eukaryota; Metazoa; Cnidaria; Anthozoa; Malacalcyonacea; Plexauridae. The record is from RNAcentral.